Sapajus apella (tufted capuchin) is the source of this 367-nucleotide long non-coding RNA. RefSeq lists it as uncharacterized. NCBI's taxonomy places the organism in Eukaryota, Metazoa, Chordata, Mammalia, Primates, Cebidae. The record is from RefSeq and is a predicted model, not a curated record. The transcript is spliced from 2 exons.
UCUUGUUGGUUUUGAAGAACAUUUUCAUUUCUGCCUUUAUUUCAUUGUUUAUCCAGUCAACAUUCAAGAGCGAGUGGUUGUUUCCAUGAAGUGUGGUUGUGAGUUAAUUUCUAAAUUCUGAGUUCUAAUUUGAUUGCACUGUGGUCUGAGAGACUGUUUGUUGUGAUUUCCAUUCUUUUGCAUUUGCUGAGGAGUGAUUUACUUCCAAUUAUGUGGUCAACUUUAGAGUAGGUGUGAUAUUGUGCUGAGAUGAAUGUAUAUUCUGUGGAUUUGGGGUGGAGAGUUCUGUAAAUGUCUAUCAGGUUUGCUUGGUCCAGGUCUGAGUUCAAGUCCUGGAUAUCCUUGUUAAUUUUCUGUCUGGUUGAUC